GAUGAACGCUGGCGGCGUGCCUAAUACAUGCAAGUCGAGCGAACAGACGAGGAGCUUGCUCCUCUGACGUUAGCGGCGGACGGGUGAGUAACACGUGGAUAACCUACCUAUAAGACUGGGAUAACUUCAGGAAACCGGAGCUAAUACCGGAGAAUAUAUUGAACCGCAUGGAUCAAUAGUGAAAGACGGCUUUGCUGUCACUUAUAGAUGGAUCCGCGCCGCAUUAGCUAGUUGGUAAGGUAACGGCCUACCAAGGCGACGAUGCGUAGCCGAGCUGAGAGGAUGAUCGGCCACACUGGAACUGAGACACGGUCCAGACUCCUACGGGAGGCAGCAGUAGGGAAUCUUCCGCAAUGGGCGAAAGCCUGACGCAGCAACGCCGCGUGAGUGAUGAAGGUCUUCGGAUCGUAGAACUCUUUUAUUAGGGAAGAACAAAUGUGUAAGUAACUAUGCACGUCUUGACGGUACCUAAUCAGAAAGCCACGGCUAACUACGUG
This 497-nucleotide ribosomal RNA is filed under the name uncultured bacterium. Its description in RNAcentral is "partial 16S ribosomal RNA". It matches the Rfam family "Bacterial small subunit ribosomal RNA", at positions 28 to 507 of the family's 1533-position model. The record is from RNAcentral.